CAUUCUUUCAAGGUUCUGCAAUUACAUUAUUCUGUUUCUCACUUUUCACAAUCCACCAUCAUCCUUUCCGUGCUAUUUGUUUGCGGACGGAACCAAGGAGGCCAUAACCAAUUCUAUUUUCAUUGUGCCAGAGUUGAGAGCCAAGCCAAUCUCGAUCUCGAUUCAGCAUCAAUGGUGGAGCGGGAUCCGGAACUCGUUUAUGUCAUUGACGAACUCGACGAUCAGUCAUUCUUCUCGCUUUGCUUUGUUCCUUCAGCGUUCAUCAGAACUUGGCUUCACAAUAACACCGAGAGAUUGCAGGUCUGUGGAAUAGAGUUCUCGAUGACGGCAGCAUGAUUGAAGGUUUCUAUUGCGUGCUAUUGAGCUUCUAAACGACGUAGAAGAUUUUGUUAAAUCAGCUGCGAUACGCAUUAUACGACACUCGUUCUCCAGAUCUCUUUCCAUUGAUUCUGUUGUUACAACAUGAAGAUUGUAAUGAAGUGAUUUCAGUUCGGUAGUAAGUCGCUGUUCCUUAAGAUUCAUAGUCCUCUAUUUGAUAUAUACAUAGAUGUUUGAUGAGUUGAUGACGAGCACUAAUUAAUUACUGUGAUAUAUACACAGAAUAUCAUGUUCCUUUAGCAGUAACACCUCUUCGCGAUUGAUACAGGUCAUCACCUAAGAUCUAAUGGUUGCGGCGCAUAGUCCAGAGAGGAAACUAUUUGUCUGAUGAAAUAUUCGUUAACGUAAGUUUAAAUUUUACUAUGCUGUUGAUUUCUCUGGAUUGUUGAUAUUUACUCAUUUGAAGAAGUUAUCAUUUAUUGUUUAUGGUGCUGUUCUUAACUAGAUUUUGAGAUAUCAUUUUCAUCUAGAGUUGUAUUGAUCCAUAAUAUUUUCUCCGUAACUCGUUAGAUUGCUUGGUUGAGAUUAUCCAUUCCAUAUAGGUAGUUCCAUCUCUUGCACUCAUCCAUUCGAUGAAGCUGGUUUGUCAUUCAAGAAGAUUGAGAACAAAAAUAUGAAGAAUUUAGAGUACAUUGUGAAUUUUUCACAUGUUCAACUGUUUCUGUCUUUUCAAUGCUCAUGUAUGAAUACUCUUACUGUUACUAUUAGAACAAAGUUGUUUGGAUACCAUUAGUGUGGUGUGCAGAUUGACGAACUUACUUGGACCUAGUCCUGGUUUGUCUCUGGAUAGCCUUUUUUUCUUUGCUUGCGGUGAAACGACUCGGUUUUAGGUAUUCAUUCCUUGGUUGUGUGUAACUUUAGAUGCGAUUUCUCUUUUCCAUGUCCGUCUCUCUCAGUUCUCAUGUUUAGUGUUUAGAACUUUUACUUUGAAUAGUAUUUACACGUGGACAGGUCACAUUUCCUUAGGAGAACUUUAAGGAAGUGAUCACUAUUUUCCCAUGCUAACUGAACUUUAUGAAGUGCUUUCCUUGCGUUAAGGCUUAAAGUGAGUGCUUCGAUUUUCAAACUUGUAGUUACAAAGUGACUCUUCCGAUAUCUAUGUAUUGGUAAUACCAUCUUUGUUCCAUGACGAGAGAUAUGAGCAUGAAGGUCAGGGCUAAUGCGUUUUAUGCAAUAAAGAAGUUUGAAAUUGUUUCCGAGGAUCUCCUUCUAUAAAGCUUCUCCUAGAGAGUCUUGAGUAGAAGAUGAAUUCUAUCAGGUAACUUAUGUUUGUAUAUAUGAUUGAAAUGUACCCCUAUAUCUCCAAAAUCGUUGUAAUCAAUCAUUCUUGACACGCUUUUCUUUUCUAAAUUUAAUCUUGUAGUUUCUUCAUGUUUUACGCCACGAGGCCUUCGUUGAUAAUUUUUCCUCUUGCUUGUUUAAGCACCUUACCAUUACCAUAAUGAUUCUCAGUAUCCUCCUGCAAACGUAUUAUCUUAUUAGAUUGCAGUGUUAAAUGAUUUUAAGUGGACAAUCACUGACUUUUUUUUUUUUUCGAGAGAGGUAAAAGACAAUUCAGGAAAUGAAUAGAAGCUUUACAGAAUGAAAUCCCAUCUUGUAAAUCAGAUAUACUUGCCAUUGCUUCUCUUAAGACGCCUGCAAGAUACAUGUGCAGCAGCUCAAAGAUGGUGAUGCCAUAGAAUCUAUCAAGACUAUGGUGCAAGACUUUG
This is a long non-coding RNA of Cucurbita moschata (crookneck pumpkin), 2087 nucleotides long. RefSeq lists it as uncharacterized. The transcript is spliced from 3 exons. The record is from RefSeq and is a predicted model, not a curated record. NCBI's taxonomy places the organism in Eukaryota, Viridiplantae, Streptophyta, Magnoliopsida, Cucurbitales, Cucurbitaceae.